RNAcentral lists this ribosomal RNA (424 nucleotides) under uncultured Lactarius. RNAcentral describes it as "eukaryotic LSU rRNA". The stretch from base 1 to 122 matches the Rfam family "5.8S ribosomal RNA", at positions 33 to 154 of the family's 154-position model. The record is from RNAcentral. Lineage: Eukaryota; Fungi; Basidiomycota; Agaricomycetes; Russulales; Russulaceae.
UCGAUGAAGAACGCAGCGAAAUGCGAUACGUAAUGUGAAUUGCAGAAUUCAGUGAAUCAUCGAAUCUUUGAACGCACCUUGCGCCCCUUGGUAUUCCGAGGGGCACACCCGUUUGAGCGUCGUGAAAUUCUCAACCUCCUCGGUUUCUUCUGGAGACUGAAGGAGGCUUGGACUUUGGAGGCCUUUGCUGGCGUGUCUCGCCAGCUCCUCUUAAAUGAAUUAGCGUGGUCCUCUUUGCCGAACCUCGACACGUGAUAAGAUGCUUCCGUGUCUCGGUUUCUGGCUCUGUUGCUUUUGGGACCCGCUUCUAACCGUCUGGACCUUGCGUCGAGACAAUGUUCGAGCUCGUAUCCCUUCUUGGGAAACCCCCUCGACCCCACGAACCCUUGGCCUCAAAUCGGGUGAGACUACCCGCUGAACUUAA